Angiostrongylus costaricensis is the source of this 72-nucleotide non-coding RNA. Lineage: Eukaryota; Metazoa; Nematoda; Chromadorea; Rhabditida; Metastrongylidae. The record is from Rfam.
GCCUUUGUGGUGUAAUGGUUAGCAUGGACGCCUUCCAAGCAUUCGACGGGGGUUCGAUUCUCCCCAAACGCA